Molecule: non-coding RNA, 73 nt
Organism: Ameiurus melas (black bullhead)
Lineage: Eukaryota; Metazoa; Chordata; Actinopteri; Siluriformes; Ictaluridae
Source: the annotation of a GenBank genome assembly
GUUGGUGGCUCAGUGGUUAAGUCGUUCGGGCUACUGAUCCGAAAAGUUGUGAGUUCAAAUCCCAGCAUUGACA